RNAcentral lists this ribosomal RNA (1920 nucleotides) under human gut metagenome. RNAcentral's name for it is "bacterial LSU rRNA". It matches the Rfam family "Bacterial large subunit ribosomal RNA", at positions 3 to 1973 of the family's 2925-position model. The record is from RNAcentral.
UCAAGCGACUAAGUGUAUGUGGUGGAUGCCUUGGCGAUUACAGGCGAAGAAGGACGUCGCAGCCUGCGAAAAGCCGUGGGGAGCUGGCAAGCGAGCACUGAUCCACGGAUGUCCGAAUGAGGGAACUCACCCGCAAGGGUAUCUUGAAGUGAAUACAUAGCUUCAAGAGGCGAACGCAGCGAACUGAAACAUCUAAGUAGCUGCAGGAAAAGAAAUCAACCGAGAUUCUGAAAGUAGCGGCGAGCGAAAUUGGAAGAGCCUGCAAGUGAUAUUGAAUUCGAUACUGGAACGGUCUGGAAAGUCCGGCUACAGAGGGUGACAGCCCCGUACGGGAAAUUGGGUUCAAGGUACUGAGCUUGCGAGAAGUAGAGCGGGACACGUGAAAUCCUGCUCGAAGAUGGGGGGACCAUCCUCCAAGGCUAAAUACUCGUAAUCGACCGAUAGCGAACCAGUACUGUGAAGGAAAGGCGAAAAGAACCCCGGGAGGGGAGUGAAAUAGAUCCUGAAACCGCAUACAUACAAACAGUAGGAGCCCGCAAGGGUGACUGCGUACCUUUUGCAUAAUGGGUCAGCGACUUACGUUCAAUGGCAAGCUUAACCGAGUAGGGGAGGCGCAGCGAAAGCGAGUCCGAACAGGGCGACAUGAGUCGUUGGGCGUAGACCCGAAACCAGAUGAUCUAUCCAUGGCCAGGCUGAAGGUGUGGUAACACACACUGGAGGACCGAACCGACUAGUGUUGCAAAAUUAGCGGAUGAGCUGUGGAUAGGGGUGAAAGGCUAAACAAAUCUGGAGAUAGCUGGUUCUCCCCGAAAACUAUUGAGGUAGUGCCUCGUGUAUGACUCCAGGGGGUAGAGCACUGUUAUGGCUAGGGGGACAUGGCGUCUUACCAAACCAUGGCAAACUCCGAAUACUUGGAAGUUUGAGCACGGGAGACAGAGCACCGGGUGCUAACGUCCGGACUCAAGAGGGAAACAACCCAGACCGCCGGCUAAGGUCCCUAAUAUUGACUAAGUGGAAAACGAAGUGGAAAGGCUAAGACAGUCAGGAAGUUGGCUUAGAAGCAGCCAUCCUUCAAAGAAAGCGUAAUAGCUCACUGAUCGAGUCUUUCUGCGCGGAAGAUGUAACGGGGCUAAGUCAAUAACCGAAGCCGCGGAUUCACACUUAUGUGUGAGUGGUAGGGGAGCGUUCUGUAAGCCUGCGAAGGUGACUCGUAAGGGUUGCUGGAGGUAUCAGAAGUGCGAAUGCUGACAUGAGUAACGUUAAAGCGGGUGAAAAGCCCGCUCGCCGUAAGCCCAAGGUUUCCUGCUCUACGUUCAUCGGAGCAGGGUGAGUCGGCCCCUAAGGUGAGGCUGAGAAGCGUAACUGAUGGGAACAAGGUUAAUAUUCCUUGACCACCGCUGAAUGCGAAGGGGGGACGGAGUAUUGAAGAUCAUCCGGGUGUUGGAUAUCCCGGUUUGCGAGCGUAGGAGGCUGACAGGCAAAUCCGUCAGCGAAUCUCCGAGGCAAAGCAUCGAGCUCUCUUUUGAGCGAAGUGAUUGGAUGUGCUUCCAGGAAAAGCCUCUAAGCUCCAGUUCAGCGGGACCGUACCGCAAACCGACACUGGUGGGCGAGCUGAAUAUGCUCAGGCGCUUGAGAGAACUCAGGAGAAGGAACUCGGCAAAUUGACACCGUAACUUCGGGAUAAGGUGUGCCUUUGUAGCGUGGAGGGAGAAACACCCCGAGCGCGAAGAGGUCUCAGAUAAUCGGUGGCUGCGACUGUUUAUUAAAAACACAGCACUCUGCAAAGACGAAAGUCGACGUAUAGGGUGUGAUGCCUGCCCGGUGCUGGAAGAUUAAUUGAUGGGGUGCAAGCUCCUGAUCGAAGUCCCAGUAAACGGCGGCCGUAACUAUAACGGUCCUAAGGUAGCGAAAUUCCUUGUC